RNAcentral lists this ribosomal RNA (766 nucleotides) under uncultured bacterium. RNAcentral's name for it is "bacterial SSU rRNA". It matches the Rfam family "Bacterial small subunit ribosomal RNA", at positions 8 to 796 of the family's 1533-position model. The record is from RNAcentral.
AGAGUUUGAUCCUGGCUCAGGAUAAACGCUGGCGGCGUGCCUAACACAUGCAAGUCGAACGCUCUCUUGCCGCAAGGUGAGAGGGAGUGGCGGACGGGUGAGUAACACAUGGGAAUCGACCCAUUCGUGAGGAAUACCACCGAGAAAUCGGUGACAAUACCGCAUACGCUUUCUUCGGGAAGCAAAGCUCUUCGCAAGAGGGGCGCGAGUGGACGAGCCUGUGCCUGAUUAGCUGGUUGGUGGGGUAAGAGCCUACCAAGGCUGCGAUCAGUCGCUGGUCUGAGAGGAUGAUCAGCCACACUGGGAUUGAGAACGGCCCAGACUCCUACGGGGGGCAGCAGUGAGGAAUAUUCGGCAAUGGGGGCAACCCUGACCGAGCAACGCCGCGUGCAGGAAGACGGCCUUCGGGUUGUAAACUGCUUUUCUGGGGGAAGAGAACGGACGGUACCCCAGGAAGAAGCUCCGGCUAACUACGUGCCAGCAGCCGCGGUAAUACGUAGGGAGCGAGCGUUGUCCGGAGUUACUGGGCGUAAAGCGCACGCAGGCGGUCUGUCGCGUUCGUGCCGACAGCGACUCGCCUAACGAGUCGAGGAGUACGGAAACGGGCAGACUUGAGGGCCAGAGAGGGACACGGAACUCCGGGUGGAGUGGUGAAAUGCGUAGAGAUCCGGAAGAACACCAAAGGCGAAGGCAGUGUCCUGGUUGGUACCUGACGCUCAGAGGCGACAGCUAGGGGAGCGAACGGGAUUAGAUACCCCGGUAGUCC